GACGAACGCUGGCGGCGUGCUUAACACAUGCAAGUCGAACGAUGAAGCCGGAGCUUGCUCCGGUGGAUUAGUGGCGAACGGGUGAGUAACACGUGAGCAAUCUGCCCUUGACUCUGGGAUAACUGCGGUAAACUGUAGCUAAUACCGGAUACGACACCUUGGGGCAUCCCAGGGUGUGGAAAGAAUUUCGGUCAAGGAUGAGCUCGCGGCCUAUCAGCUAGUUGGUGAGGUAAUGGCUCCCCAAGACGACGACGGGUAGCCGGCCUGAGAGGGUGACCGGCCACACUGGAACUGAGACGCGGUCCAGACUCCUACGGGAGGCAGCAGUGGGGAAUAUUGCACAAUGGGCGAAAGCCUGAUGCAGCAACGCCGCGUGAGGGAUGAAGGCCUUCGGGUUGUAAACCUCUUUUAGCAGGGAAGAAGCGAAAGUGACGGUACCUGCAGAAAAAGCACCGGCUAACUACGUGCCAGCCGCCGCAGUAA
RNAcentral lists this ribosomal RNA (483 nucleotides) under uncultured bacterium. RNAcentral describes it as "partial 16S ribosomal RNA". It matches the Rfam family "Bacterial small subunit ribosomal RNA", at positions 28 to 523 of the family's 1533-position model. The record is from RNAcentral.